AUGGGGUGACUGCGUACCUUUUGUAUAAUGGGUCAGCGACUUAUAUUCUGUAGCAAGGUUAACCGUAUAGGGGAGCCGUAGGGAAACCGAGUCUUAACUGGGCGAAUGAGUUGCAGGGUAUAGACCCGAAACCCGGUGAUCUAUCCAUGGGCAGGUUGAAGGUUGGGUAACACUAACUGGAGGACCGAACCGACUAAUGUUGAAAAAUUAGCGGAUGACUUGUGGAUGGGGGUGAAAGGCCAAUCAAACCGGGAGAUAGCUGGUUCUCCCCGAAAGCUAUUUAGGUAGCGCCUCGUGAACUCAUCUUCGGGGGUAGAGCACUGUUUCGACUAGGGGGUCAUCCCGACUUACCAACUCGAUGCAAACUGCGAAUACCGAAGAAUGUUAUCACGGGAGACACACGGCGGGUGCUAACGUCCGUCGUGAAGAGGGAAACAACCCAGACCGCCAGCUAAGGUCCCAAAGUCAUGGUUAAGUGGGAAACGAAGUGGGAAGGCUCAGACAGCCAGGAUGUUGGCUUAGAAGCAGCCAUCAUUUAAAGAAAGCGUAAUAGCUCACUGGUCGAGUCGGCCCGCGCGGAAGAUGUAACGGGGCUAAACCAUGCACCGAAGCUGCGGCAGCGACACAUAGUGUUGUUGGGUAGGGGAGCGUUCUGUAAGCCUGCGAAGGUGUACUGUGAGGUAUGCUGGAGGUAUCAGAAGUGCGAAUGCUGACAUAAGUAACGAUAAUGCGGGUGAAAAACCCGCACGCCGGAAGACCAAGGGUUCCUGUCCAACGUUAAUCGGGGCAGGGUGAGUCGACCCCUAAGGCGAGGCUGAAAAGCGUAGUCGAUGGGAAACGGGUUAAUAUUCCCGUACUGGUGGUAACUGCGAUGGGGGAACGGAGAAGGCUAGGUUGUCCGGGCGACGGUCGUCCCGGUUCAAGCAGGUAGGCAGAGUGAUUAGGCAAAUCCGGUCACUUAAUGCUGAGAUGUGAUGACGAACCACCAAGGUGGUGAAGCAAUUGAUGCCCCGCUUCCAGGAAAAGCCUCUAAGCUUCAGGUUACCAACAAUCGUACCCCAAACCGACACAGGUGGUCAGGUAGAGAAUACUCAGGCGCUUGAGAGAACUCGGGUGAAGGAACUAGGCAAAAUGGUGCCGUAACUUCGGGAGAAGGCACGCUGGCGGUAGGUAAAGUCCCU
RNAcentral lists this ribosomal RNA (1181 nucleotides) under Proteus mirabilis. Its description in RNAcentral is "partial 23S ribosomal RNA". It matches the Rfam family "Bacterial large subunit ribosomal RNA", at positions 588 to 1770 of the family's 2925-position model. The record is from RNAcentral. Lineage: Bacteria; Pseudomonadati; Pseudomonadota; Gammaproteobacteria; Enterobacterales; Morganellaceae.